Long non-coding RNA from Mauremys mutica (yellowpond turtle), 184 nucleotides. RefSeq lists it as uncharacterized. The transcript is spliced from 2 exons. NCBI's taxonomy places the organism in Eukaryota, Metazoa, Chordata, Testudines, Geoemydidae. The record is from RefSeq and is a predicted model, not a curated record.
ACGGUAGCCAGUCGCAGCAGCCGGUACUUGGUGAAGGAUAAGCAGAAGAGCGGGUUACCGUGUCCUUGACUACUGGACUGCCCAUAUCAUCGACUGCUCAGAGGCUACAAAACCUCAGGAAGACGCCGUGAAAAAGCAAAGAAGACAUGCUGAAAGCAGUUAUGGAUCAGUCUGCCAGAGAGAG